GAACGGGUGAGUAAUACAUCGGAACGUGCCCUGUAGUGGGGGAUAGCUCGGCGAAAGCCGGAUUAAUACCGCAUAAGCUCUACGGAGGAAAGCGGGGGACCGCAAGGCCUCGUGCUAUAGGAGCGGCCGAUGGCAGAUUAGCUAGUUGGUGAGGUAAAGGCUCACCAAGGCGACGAUCUGUAGCUGGUCUGAGAGGACGACCAGCCACACUGGGACUGAGACACGGCCCAGACUCCUACGGGAGGCAGCAGUGGGGAAUUUUGGACAAUGGGCGAAAGCCUGAUCCAGCAAUGCCGCGUGUGUGAAGAAGGCCUUCGGGUUGUAAAGCACUUUUGUUCGGGAAGAAAGUAUUCGUGCUAAUACCAUGGAUAGAUGACGGUACCGGAAGAAUAAGCACCGGCUAACUACGUGCCAGCAGCCGCGGUAAUACGUAGGGUGCGAGCGUUAAUCGGAAUUACUGGGCG
RNAcentral lists this ribosomal RNA (464 nucleotides) under bacterium enrichment culture. RNAcentral's name for it is "bacterial SSU rRNA". It matches the Rfam family "Bacterial small subunit ribosomal RNA", at positions 100 to 560 of the family's 1533-position model. The record is from RNAcentral.